Molecule: ribosomal RNA, 531 nt
Filed under: uncultured bacterium
Lineage: Bacteria
Description: bacterial SSU rRNA
Rfam family: Bacterial small subunit ribosomal RNA
Source: RNAcentral
AAUAGAUACCCGGGUAGUCCACGCCGUAAACGGUGGGCACUAGGUGUGGGGACCAUUCCACGGUCUCUGCGCCGCAGCUAACGCAUUAAGUGCCCCGCCUGGGGAGUACGGCCGCAAGGCUAAAACUCAAAGGAAUUGACGGGGGGCCCGCACAAGCGGCGGAGCAUGCGGCUUAAUUCGAAGCAACGCGAAGAACCUUACCUAGGCUUGACAUGCAGGGAAAUCUGGCAGAGAUGCCAGGUCCUUCGGGGCCGUUGCACAGGUGGUUGCAUGGCUGUCGUCAGCUCGUGUCGUGAGAUGUUGGGUUAAGUCCCGCAACGAGCGCAACCCUCGUUCUAUGUUGCCUAGCGGUUUCGGCCGGGGACUCAUAGAAGACUGCCGGGGUCAACUCGGAGGAAGGUGGGGAUGACGUCAAGUCAUCAUGCCCCUUAUGUCUAGGGCUGCACGCAUGCUACAAUGGUCGGUACAAAGGGCUGCGAUACCGUAAGGUGGAGCGAAUCCGAAAACGCCGGCCUCAGUUCGGAUUGGGGU